Molecule: long non-coding RNA, 7737 nt
Organism: Hemicordylus capensis (graceful crag lizard)
Lineage: Eukaryota; Metazoa; Chordata; Lepidosauria; Squamata; Cordylidae
Exons: 5
Source: RefSeq, a predicted model, not a curated record
GUGAGUGCGUGAGUGUGUGGGUUACCCUAGUAACCAGACCCAGAAGGUUCGGGGGGGGGGUGUUAAAAGGCAGUUGAGACAGAAGAGAGAGAGAGUUGGAUUUAGUUGCAUGGGAGUAGGAGGUCAGGUGUAUUAGGCUGAGGGUUGAGAGAUCAGUUAGUGUGUUCUGAACAGGAAAGGUUGUUCAAGGGAAGGGGUUGUGUGGAUCUUGAAGGGUCAAUGUGAGGAGGCUGGAGAACCAGCAGUGUUCUGGGCAGCUCCUAAUAAAAGACAAGAAGGUCUGGAGGAAUUCACUGUUUACAAGCCCAAGUUUAAGUACCUCUGUCCCAGUUAUCUCACCUCUCUAUACGUUACAUUUUAUCCAGAACAGCUGAUUUACCUAGUAACUUGGUAAAGAAGCUUGAGUGCCCUGCUUUGCAGAGAUCAUUAUUCUAAUCUGUAAAUAAUAAACUUAUUCUUGUUUUUUGUUUUAUACCUCAAGUUUUGUUUCAUUUUAUAUCCUGAAUAUAUAGGCCUAUCCUGUGCUUGCAAGGCUACGCAGCCAAAGGUGUUGAGUACUGAGAGCAGGGGAACAAGAAUUUAUAUGGUGGCAGCGAGGGAAAGUAAAAGCUGACUGAAUUCCCAGAACCUGGAGACUAAACUGUCAUAGAACAAUAAAAACAAAUCAUCUCCCUGGGACUGAGAGGGACAUGAGGAUGGGACCUUGACAGCUCCUCUUGAAAAAGGAUUCAUAUUGCAAUUUCUGCUUUGUUUGUGUGCCCAUUAUCAGAAGAGCAUCUGUUCUGCUAAGUGAGCAAAGAGGCACCUUUUUAAAGUGGUGGUUCUCUUUAUUUAGCAGGGGGAGAGAAACUGGCCCUAAACAUCCCGAGCACAACAUCCCUCCAGUGGCUAUUGCUGGUGUCUAUCUUAUGUGUCUUUUUUAGAUUGUGAGCCCUUUGGGGACAGGGAACCAUUUUAUUUAUUUAUUUAUAUCGAUAUAAACCGCUUUGAGAACUUUUUUUUGUUGAAAAGUGGUAUAUAAAUAUUCAUCAUAUUCGUAUUCUAUUCCUUUCCAGGAUUCAUCUGUGCACCACAGCCAAUAUAGUUACUUCCACUGUGGCACCAUUACAUCUGGUGCCGUUGUUGGGACUUACAUCUGGUGCUGCUGUUGAUCCACCUGGGGCUGCAUUUCUUGUACUGUUUCAAUCUUCUGUAAACCACACUGGAGAUUAUAUCAAAAAGUAGGAUAUAAAUCUUUAAACUGAACAACUAAAGCAGAGCUAAGAACUUUAGAAUAUGCUCAUACAACUCGAAGGAAUAUAGUCCUUCUCAACAAAAUACAGCAUUUUAAAAACAUAUAUGGACAAUUCAGAAACCACAUAUUCUGAAAUGACCCCUCCAGAGGUACUUGCAUGUAGGUUUAUGUGUACUCAGCCUUACAGCUGUAGAAAAGCAAAAACCAAUUUAAGCAUUGCUUGUGUAAAUGACUCUUCCGGGUGAAAAUAAGACUGAUCAUGUUAAGAGGAAAUGCUAUCUUGAGAACCUUGUUUUACAGAUGUAACAUUUCUAAUUAGAAAGAGCCAGAAUUUUGGAUUUGGAAGAAAGCAAAGAAAGCAGCACAAUCACAUUAAUUGGAAAGCAUUUCAUUUGUGAUGGCAUUUUAUACACCAGAGCUUUCUCAAGCAGAAGGUAAUCUAACACUGAACCUUUCUACUGUCCUGAAUCCCACCUUCCCUCCUGUUUAAACUCAUUCGAAGUAAUGAAAGUCCUUCUCUAAGGACUCAUUUAGCACAAUAUCCAGCCUGUCCCAAUUAGUAAACAUUUUGCAUCACUGAUCUUACAAUUAAUAGGACAAUAGUCUUCUAGCUAGUUGUGACAUAUUGACUACAUCUCCAGCACUAUUAAUAUCCUGUUGUCGGGGGACAAUACAAGCAUGCAUUAUAGUUGUCACAUUUUAAAAUUAUGAGCAUCCAUUCCCAAACUGAAUUCAUUUAAAACUGUUUACGUAUGUUGAUGCAAAUUGAUUGAUUGCACCCAGCCAUUGUGCAAUUUUCGCACUUGCAUCAUCCAGGCAGUUGAACUGCAAGUUUUAUUCUUCACUCCAGAGGUUGGAGGUAUUGGCAGGGCUAGCUGUAUAGCUUGAGAACUCCAGACAUAUUUUUUGUUGCAGAGAGCAGAUGGAAACAGGACUCCUUUCCAAGAACCACCUUGGGGCCUUGCUGGAGUUGGCUGGGUUGGGCAGUUGCUAAGGUCCAGAGCCUACCCAUUGCAAUGCAUUGCCACCAUUUUGGCUCUCUCUUGGGGCUAAGCCUGGUCAAGGAUGCAGAGCCUGCUGCCUACAAUCUAGCCAGGCCCAGCUCAAAGUGAGAUUCUAACUCAGAGAGUAAUUUUUCAAAAUGAUCUCAGUUUGAGUGUGGCUCAUUCAUGUUGGAAUCAUUAUGCACUAUCUCUGACUAUGAGGUGAAAGUGCAUGCCAGAAUCCCUUGUGCUAGUCCAUGGGCUUCCUGGAAGCUGGGGGGGCUUUGCUUUCCGUAUACUUUCCAUGUUGUUUUGACAUUUGAAUUGGUUCUUCUCUUGCCUCUUGAUGUGACUAACCCUUCCUGGAACCCCUGUUCUGUCAAAUACUGCAACUAGAAUUAUUUAUUUAUUUAUUUAUUUAUUUGAUUUAUAUGCUGCCCUUCCGAAAGUGGCCCGGGGCAGUAUAUGAUAAGCUAGAAGAAGCUUUCAAAGUUGUGGAGCGGGCGGGGGGGGAGCGGGGGGAGUCAUCUGCCCUGGAGCAAGGUUUUCAAAAAUAAUGGGUUGCAUCCCAGUGAAGUUAAUCAUGACUAAAUCCCACCAAAAUGAAUGGGACUAACUUAAAUUAUUCAUGACUCAUUUAAUCUCAUUGAUUUCAAUGGUGCUUUGUCAUGACCAACUCAGUUUGGAUGCCACCCAAUGUACAUUAGCUUUUGCUUCUUUUUUCUAGUAUAUAUCUGUAUCUAUAUAUUGAUGUUCAUAUCUACAUAUUUAUUUCUAUACCUAUAUUGUUCUUCCCUUCUGGAUAGCCAGCCUUCUUAACUGAUGGGAUAGGUGCCUCCUGCAGCCUCUUUGGAGGUAGACUACAGUAGCAAAUCAAGCUGGCAGGAGAGUUACUGAAAGAAGAAACAAAUAUAUACUGACUGCCAGCAGAAGACUGGAGUAAAAUUAUUUGCAGAACAUAGAAGGAAAAGACACAACUCGGAAAGCAAAUAUUGCAUGGGUGAUCCUUUUUUCCUGCUUUGACAGGUUCUGUGACUUCAACCUCCAACUGUUGGUGCAGCCUGAGGAUGUGGACAAGAUCCUAGGCAGUGUGCGGGCGACUUCGUGCACUCUUGACCCUUGCCCUUCAUGGCUAAUAAAAGCUGCCAGGGAGGGGACAGGCAGAUGGUUGGAGGUGAUUAUUAAUGCCUCAUUAAGGGAGGCCAGGAUGCUAUUGUGCCUCAAAGAGGCGAUGGUAAAACCAUUGUUAAAAAAGCCCUCCCUUGAUCCCUCCAACCUGGACAACUAUAGACCUGUCUCCAACCUGCCCUUUUUGGGGAAGGUGAUAGAGCAUGUGGUGGCGUCCCAGCUGCAGAGGGUCUUGGAUGAUACGGAUUAUCUGGACCCUUUUCAAUCUGGCUUCCGCCCCGGAUAUGGAACUGAAACUGCCUUGGUCGUUGGAUGACCUACGCCAGUGGAUGACCUACGCCAGGUGGAUGACCUACGCCAGGAACUAGACAGGAAGAGUGUGUCCCUGUUGGUUCUGCUGGACCUCUUAGUGGCGUUCAAUACCAUCAACCAUGAUAUCCUUCUGGAUUGCCUCUCGAGUGUGGGAAUUGGAGGGAGGCUGUGGAUGUCCUGAAUCGGGGGCUGGAGCCUGUGAUGGGUCGGAUGUGGGCUAAUAAACUGAGAUUGAAUCCAAGAUUGAAUCUUGACAAGACGGAGGUAAUGUUGGUCAGUAGGAGAGCCAAUCGGGAUUUGCCUUUGUAAAGAAGCAGAUGAAACAGUGGGCCACCUAAUCAGCUGUUGUAAAAAGAUCGCACAGACUGACUACAAACAAAGGCAUGAGAAGGUAGCAGGGAUGAUAUACUGGAACAUCUGCAAAAAAUACAAGCUACCUGUAGCCAAAGAUUGGUGGGACCAUAAAAUUGAAAAAGUUGUAGAAAAUGAAGAUGCAAAAAUAUUAUGGGACUUCCGACUACAAACAGACAAACAUCGGCCACACAAUAAACCAGAUAUAACUGUAGUCGAGAAGAAAGAAAAACAAGUCAAAAUAAUCGACAUAGCAAUACCAGGGGAUAGCAGAAUAGAAGAAAUAGAAAUAGAAAAAAGUAACAAAAUACAAAGAUGUACAAAUUGAAAUUGAAAGGUUGUGGCAGAAGAAGACCAAAAUAAUCCCUGUAGUAAUUGGUGCCCUAGGUGCAAUUCCAAAACACCUUGAAGAGCACCUCAACACCAUAGGGGCCACAGAAAUCACCAUCAACCAAUUACAAAAAGCAACUUUACUGGGAACAGCCUAUAUUCUUCGACGAUAUCUAUAAUAACAACAACAACAACAAUACUGAUAAUAAAAUUCAGCCAUCCCAGGUCCUUGGGAAGGACUCAAUGUCUGGAUAAAACAAACCAGGCAAUAAAACCUGUCUGACUGUGUAAAAAAGAAAUAAUAAUAAAUAAUAAUUAUUAUUAUUAUUAUUAAUAAUACCAUAGGGGCCACAGAAAUCACCAUCAGCCAAUUACAAAAAGCAACUUUACUGGGAAUAGCCUAUAUUCUGCGACGAUAUCUAUAACAACUGAUAAUAAGAUUCAGCCAUCCCAGGUCCUUGGGAAGGACUCGAUGUCUGGAUAAAACAAACCAGUCAAUGACACCUGUCUGACUGUGUAAACAAGAAAUAAUAAUAAUUUGGGAUCCUACCAAUGCCUUAGUGAAGUGGUGCUUCUUCCAUAUGACUGACAGGAAGAAGGUGAGUGAGGAAAUUGGGUUGAAGCCAGAUAGUCUUUAAUACUGCUGCUGCCAGAUUCAGAGAAGUUGGCAGAAAAAAUUGCUACAUUAUUGGAUUAGUAGUUUCCUAAUGGCUUUUGAGAUAGAAGCAAAUGGAACCACUAGUUGGGGCAGUAAUUCCACAACUGUGAGCCACAACAAAACUGUUAUAGAAUGUCAGGGGGGAAAUUCUCAAAGGUGCAUGCGAGUCCAAAGUACCCACAGCCCCAAUAAGCUGCGUGCUGUGUCACUGCAUUGCACUGGAAGCAGAUAAACCCACUAUGCAAGUGAAUCUCUACCUCAUUUCCAGUGUAGAGUCACAGCAGUGUUACCUGUCCUGGGAAGAGUAAAUGUGGUGUCUCUGCACGAGUCACUGCCUCCUUCCAAUCUGAAAGCACACUGUGACUCAUACAGAAACAUAGGGAGAGGGCUCCUCUGAUAAUGGGUAGUUGUUAAUCUUGUUGGAGCUAGGACACUGGCAGCAUCAGCUCUCAGCUGCAAUGUCUCAUAGUGACCACUGGGGGGGCGGCUUUUAGGGUCAUGGGUAAAAGUGCUGGAUUCCACCCCUCCGUUCUUCCAGUGUUAGGCUCUCCAGUGUUUUGUCUCUCCAGAGAGGGCUGUUUCUCUUCAGCCAUGAGCUACAGCUGAAAUUAAGUUGCAGGUUUUUCCACAUUUGUUUGUAACGUUUUCUUUAAAUAAAUCCUUGUAGUUCUUCAAUACUGAAGAAGAACUACAAAAUACAAGGUGCUAGUUAUUACCCACAAAGCCCUAAACAGCUUAGGCCCUGGGUAUUUAAGAGAACAUCUUCUUCACCACGAGACCCAACAUCUGUUAAGAUCAUCCAGAGAGAUUUCUUCAAUCCUCAAAUGACCACUAGGGGCAUUGGGAGUAGAUGCCCCUGGUGGCGCAGUGGUAAAACUGCUGCCCUGUAACCAGAAGGUUACAAGUUCGAUCCUGACCAGGGGCUCAAGGUUGACUCAGCCUUCCAUCCUUCCGAGGUCGGUAAAAUGAGUACCCAGAAUGUUGGGGGCAAUAUGCUAAAAUCAUUGUAAACUGCUUAGAGAGCUCCGGCUAUAAAGCGGUAUAUACAGUGGACCCUCGACUUACGAACUACUCGACAUCCGAUGUUUUCGACUUACGAACGACAAAAAUGGCCGCACGCUUACGAAUUUUUCGAGCUACGAACGGAAACCGUUGGCGGUUUAGAUGCGGUUUCCUCAACUUACGAAUUUUUAGAUGCGGCUUACUCGACUUACAAAUUUUUUUAGACCUCCGUGGGUACGCUUUUCGACUUACGAAAUUUUCGACCUCCGAACGUGCAUUCGGAACGGAUUAACUUCGUAAGUCGAGGGACCACUGUAAAUGUAAGUGCUAUUGCUAUUGCUAUUUGUCUGCGGUUGCUGCCAACUCAUUUGGUGGCUACUUGGGAAUGGGCCUUCUCCGUUCCUGCCCCUGGACUUUGGAAUGUGCUCCCUGUUGAAAUAAGAGCCUCUGCCCUGUAAAUCACCCUGAGCUAUUUUUGGAAGGGUGGUAUAUAAAUCAAAAUUUAUUCACCCAGGCUUAAUUAGAUUUAUGGUUUUAAAUUUGUAAUAUUGGUUUUAAAUGAUUCUAAUGUUUGUUUAAAUGAUUUUAAUCAUUUAAUUGAUUUAGUUUUGAAUUUAAUUGUUUUGUUUUUAACCCUGAGCCAUUUUUGGAAGGGCAGUAUAUAAAUCAAACAAAUACAUACUAAAGAACUGUCUGAAGACCUUUUGCUUUGCUGCUUUCUCACCAAACUGGUUUUGCUCUGCUAUUUGGGGACUGAACUGCCAUUCUUCCCCUACAAAUCUUUCACACACCUGAAAGUAAACCUCCUAAGGUGCAGUUCUAAUUUAAGUGUGUGCACGGUCAAACCAGAUAAUCAGGCACUUCACUGUCUUUUCAUUUUUCAAAAAUAGCAGCUGUAGGGGCUCCUGAUCCAGACUGGGAACCUGUUAGUAUUGGAAUGGGGGGUGGGGGUUAAAUGCUUCACCCCACACACCAAGGGCAAGCAAAAGUUAUCCCCCUGAAGCUGUUAUCUGCCUGGGAAGGAAUCUGCUAUGGGCACUAAUGGCAGCUUUCCUUCACCAGCUUCAAGGCAAGGGUGCACGAUACACAUUGGGAUUUCAGUGCAAGGAGAAAGGGUUAAGUCCCUGUCCCAGUCCACCCACACUGUGGUCCCAGUCCAGACUGGGGUCCUGCUCAUCCCUCCACCUUAACAAACUUAACACCUUAACACCUUAACGCAGCUACUCAUCCCUCCACCUUAACAAAGAAUAGAAAGAUGAUGAAUUCAUCAUUAUGAUGGACCCAGUUGCUUGAUAUUCUCAUGCAUUAACCAUUAGGCUCCAGGGCAGAACUAUGUAGUGAGCAUGGUGAGUGGAGGUCGUUCUGUAAAGCCAGACAUUGAGUGUAAUAUUAUACCAGGAAGCAAAAAGACCAGCGGGAGCUCCAGAAGAAAACUGCAGGUAUGAGUUGUUGGAGAUGAACUUCCAGUGCAUCGACCUUUUGCACCAACUGUCCAAAUGACCACUAGGGGCAUUGGGAGUAGAGACAGUGAUUAAGGGUCUCCCUAUCUGUCCCUACUCUAUGACCCCUGUUCUGACUCUGCAGCACUUCCUGUGCUGAGUCACAAUCCUUCCUUUCCUCCUAGAGAGCAGAUGGAAACAUCUCUCUCUCUCUCUCCUUACCUAUCCACUAUGUAGUCCUUUAGAUUAGAGAUAGGUCUUUCCUAUCUAAGUGUAUUUAACCAAUAAAUAUUUAGUGUU